GCACGAAUUGCCAUUGCCCGUUACCUAUCUGUUUCUUCUACUCUCGGCUAUCCCCAAUGAAAACACAACCGCAAAUCGCUAGGGUUCACCAUUCCCCGUCGUCACCGCUACCCGUCCCAACCUCGGCCACUAGUGGCUCGACCGUCGCCGGCCGACGAAUCGGAGGCGGUGCGGCCGUAAUCUCCCUUUCCUGGAGCGCAGAGGCGCAGCCACCUCGUCUACUGCAUCCUCCACCGGCCACUCCCUAUCACUGGACCGCCUCCACCCGCCCCAACCCCGGCCACCGUCCACUCGGAUCUCAGUCGUUGCUGCGGUAACCUCCUUCGCCUAUUUCCAUCUGUCCUCUGUCCGUCCCUCCCCCUCCCCUUCUGCCAGUGUCCGAUGCCUGCCUGCUCUAUUUCUGUGUGUGUUAGUGCAGGAGUGCUCUGCGUUCUUGUAUGCAUACUAUGCGUGCAUGGUGGUCGUGCUCUGUGCGUGUGAUGCAUGCGUGUGUUGCCUGACUACUGCUAUUUCAUCUAGUACUAGUGGACUGCUACUAUUUCCGCUGAUUUGCAAAAUGAUGUUGAUACUAGCAAGUCAUCUGCUAUUUUGGUACUGAUCUAUAAUUGCCAACUGUACUGGAACUAGUGGUGACUGCUCCAUUUUAGUACUAGUGGCUGCUAUUGCUAUUGUCAUUUUUUAUAUGAAUUUGCAAAUUGAUACUUGGUUGUAGUUUGCAUAUGUAUUGCUAUUGUUACUGUGAAUUUAAACAUAGGACUAUUGUGUAUGUUCAGUGUGAUUAAAUGAUGGUUUGUGGUACUAACUAUUGGUUUUUCCCUUGUAUUUGUAUGUACAAAAAUGAGCACAACCACUAACAGCAGCAAUGGUACAACUUGUUCAAGUGAGAGUGGAAGUGAAUGUGAGGUUGAAUCUGACAUAAAGAAGAUGGAGCUCGGGAAGAAAAAGCUUCAGCAAUACAUGUAUGUUGCAUUUGUGGUCGCCAUGCACAAUCAAAAGUAUCUUAUGAAGAAAGAAAGGAGAGAGGCCAUGUUUUGACUUAUUACAUGAGACUUUGGUACACAACUAUGGUUUGCGAGCAACAUGCAACAUGUGUUCCGAGGAGGCUCUAUGGAUGUUCUUGUGGACUAUUGGUAGCCCACAAUCAGUGAGCCAAGUUUAGAACCGAUUCAAGAGGUCCACCGAAAAUUCAACCAUGUGUUGAGGUGUUUGAUGUUAUUAGCUGCAGAUAUGAUUGCACCAACUGAUCCAGAAUUUAGAAGUGUGCAUGAGAGACUGCAAGACCCUAAGUUUUUUCCUCACUUCAAUGGUUGCAUUGGUGCUAUUGAUGGGACACACAUACCUGUCACUGUGCCAGCUAAAGACAUGAUUAACCAUUGCGGUUGACAUGAAUAUUCAUCACCAAAUGUGAUGGCCGUAUGUGACUUUGACAUGAGAUACACUUCUGUAGUGGCUGGAUGGCCUGGUUCGGCACAUGACACAAGGAUAUUCAAGGACAAAAUGGAUAAGUACAAAGAAAAGUUUCCUCAUCCUCUGACAGGAAAACACUAUCUUGUUGAUUCUGGAUACCCCAAUUAGGUUGGUUAUCUAGCACCAUUUAGAGGAACAAAAUACCAUCUACCUGAGUUUCGUAUGGGCCCUGCUGCAACCGGUAGGGAAGAAGUAUUCAACUAUCUUCAUUCAUCACUCAGAAAUGUCAUAGAACGCUCAUUUGCUAUGUUGAAACAAAAAUGGCGCAUUCUAAAACAUUUGCCUAGCUACUCACCUAGUAAGCAAGCAAGGAUUAUCAUCGCUUGUAUGGCACUGCACAACUUCAUCAGAGAUAGUGAUUUGUAUGAUUAUCACUUUGCUAGAUGCAGUGAUGAUGACAACUACUAUCCUCCGGGCCAUGUGGUCAACACAACUGGAGGGAACUAUACGAGAGGUGCAAAUACUACCAUGGACACAACUCGUAACAUGAUUGUUGAUUUUGUGCUGGCAGCGAGAGAGUAGGGUCGUGAGCUUCACCAUAACCAUGUACUUACUUUGUAACCGAAAGACGGUCUCAUGUAUAUAUAAUUAAUACCAUAUGUUAUGAUGAG
This 2078-nucleotide ribosomal RNA is filed under the name Triticum aestivum (bread wheat). Its description in RNAcentral is "partial small subunit ribosomal RNA". Lineage: Eukaryota; Viridiplantae; Streptophyta; Magnoliopsida; Poales; Poaceae. The record is from RNAcentral.